This is an RNA transcript of Phoenix dactylifera (date palm), 4933 nucleotides long. RefSeq lists it as uncharacterized. Lineage: Eukaryota; Viridiplantae; Streptophyta; Magnoliopsida; Arecales; Arecaceae. The record is from RefSeq and is a predicted model, not a curated record.
CCAGCCCCAUUUUGUUGUUGGAAUAUUUUCCCCUGUUUCUACCUUGAUCGGAGCGUUUUUAAUAGAUUAAAAUUUAUGUUUCUUGAUUUUGGUUCAGUAGUGUACUUUAUUGCUUAGGAUUUUGCCUCUCGUAGUGAAGUUUUAACUCUAAGUGUAUGUCUUUCUUUUUUAAAUCUUUUUUAGUGAUCAUGAUGUGGUUUUUUUUUUUUUGUUUUAAUGGAGGCUAACAUGUCAGGAGAUUUUUGGUGGAAAAGGUUUUUUGAAUUGAAUUGCCAUUCUAUUUUGGAUUUUGAAGGUUUUGGUUUGAUAUGGCGGUGGUACUUCUUUUCUCUUUCAUAUCUGUUACGGUUCCCAAGUGGGGAAUUCUUCAAAAGACGGGAUUUUGCUUCAGAAAAAGGACGUUUAGAGAACGCAUGCAUAAAAGAUCGAGCGAGAAAAGGUUCUCAAAGAGUUUAGGCCUUCUGUUCUUUUUAUUUUCAUUCAUGUUCUGAAUUUAGGAACAUAGGGGUCGAUUUUAGGAAGCGAUUAGGUAUAAGGGUGUAUAUAAGUAAAUGUUUCCGCGUUCGGAGUGCCUGGUUAUGGAUUGAAGAAUCCAUUUUCUUUUGAUCUCUCUCAUUUUCUUCGAACUGGUUUGAAGCUGCAUCUAUCGAUUUGUGAGAAUGGGAUAGAUGGAUUAUGGGGAUAGAUGGCUCUGAUUUCGUAGGGAUGCCAGUUUUGGAACGUAUGCUUUACUUCGAUGGCCUUGAGGCUAGACUAAAGAUGUUUUGUGGCCACACAAGGACCAAUAGCAAUGUCGCAAAGGUUGCAGGUCGAAGAAGUCGCACUUUAUUCAAAAGAGCACCAGAUCAUAACAACUACCAGUUUACUCCAAAGGAAUGUGAAGUACCUGGACUUAUGCCAAGGAAUUCUGAGCAGAGGUGGAUUAUAUUCGCACUGUUUGCCCUUGAAGCUGAUGCAUACUGGAAACUGGCACCUUUUUUACCACCCUUGCGAGGGGCUGAUCAGAAAAACCAUGUGGGAUCUGGAGUUUCAUCAGACAUGGAUGGUCUUGAGUCUUUAUCGCCACCACCAGCUAUUAUUGUCCCGGUUGACCUGCCAAAAGAAAAGAAGAUCAAUUGGCUUGAACAUACAGAUUCUGCUAAGCCACUUCCAAUGUGCAGCUCUUCUGGAGGAGUUAUUCCCAAAGGGGACAAGACUGUGAAAAGAAGUUCAAGAAAGAGGGGGAAAAAGAAGGGAAAACAGUACAAAAAAGCCACAAGCGAAAAAGUAUCCGCUGGAUGUGAAAUUCAACAUGAACAAAGCAUAUGUGUUCCUUCUGUUUCUGAUACCACAACCAACAGUGACGUGGUUUGUUUGGGUGAGGGCAUGUCAGAAAAUAGUGUAUCUGAGAAGGCAACUUCCACUAGUUUGUCUAUUGAGGAUACUUCUGUGGAAAAGGAUGAUAGUGAUAACAAUCAUGAGUACGCAGACUGUUCAAGAACUUUAGUGUCAUGUACAUCUUACAGCAAUGAUAUGGUUGAGCCUGACCAAGUAUCAUCUUUGUCUCUGGUACGUGCUGGUGAGGAAUCUAACUGCAACAGUACUGCUUCUAUGAAUAAUGCAUUAAGCACUACACAAACACCAGAAAUAAUUCUUUCCACCUUUGAUGACGAUAAUAAAAAUGCCAAUCCAAAACAAAAUAGCAAUUUUUCUGACAAUCCUCCCAGCAUUUCCUUCGAUCCCUAUAAUACUUCAGUGCAAGAUUCAUAUCUAAAUGGUUGGAACAGUGAUAUCCGUGAAAACCGCAAUGAUGAUGGUGAAACUCUAUUAUCCAUCGAGGAUGAAAGUGGAUUUAAUUCUUCAGGAGGAGGAAUGAUUUCAGACUCCAGGAAUUCUGACACUUCAUGUCAGACCGCAACUGUAAAUUUAUAUGAUAUAAAUACUGAAAUGUUAAAUGAUGGUUGCAUUGGUAACUCUUGUUGGUCAAAGGAUGUUGUCAAUACUUGUAACAGUAUUGAAAGAGCUCCAUGCAGUAGCCAGGCCUAUAACAGCAAUGACUUCCAUCCCGUAAUAUCGGGAAAGAGAGGGAGGCGAGCUAGGAAAAUGACUGGUGGUGCAAAUCAGAAUGUGCCAAACAGAUUUCCUGGUGUCACAGGAAAAGAAAAUAACCAUUCAGUUUGGCAGAAGGUCCAAAAGAUUGACAUGGAGGCAUGCAUCUGUGAAACAGAGACUGUCAAUGCUGUAUCUCCUCAGGAUAACACUUCAUCAAAACAUUCCAACAUAAGGAUCAGAUUUGGUACAUGUGUGGGGCUGAAACAAAACCAGAGUGGAAAAACCUGCAAAAAUGCUUGUUCAGAUGAAGUGGUUAAAACAGAUUUGUGCAAUGUAACCUCUAAUAUUGUCAGUACAAGUGAAGUAGCAUCCGAAUUGAUAGAUGGAAACUCAAUGAAUAAUGUCCAAAAGAAAGCGAGUUCAGCCUUUAAACAGGCAAAUCACUAUUCUAGGAAGGGAUCUUAUGCAGCUAAAGUUAAUAUGAACAGGGUUUCUAAAAAUCAUGUUCCACAAAAUGAAGGAAUGCCAAUCUUGCCGCAGGUGAUUCAUGAAAAACACAUAAGUGGUGGAUUAAGAUCACCUUGUAGCAUUGAGUUCCAACAAAUUUUGGUUGCACCAGCUGACAAAAUUGACCAUUGUCGCCGAGAGUCACAGCAGAAGGCAGAGAAUUAUUUAGAGAAAGCAACAUCAUCAGGAAAUCGUUGUAGAACAGCCUGUGGUGUGAGUUUGCCAGCUACUUAUAAUGAUGGAGGUGCAUCAACAUCAGAUUCUUCAGAUCAAGUGUGCAUUGAAGGGACUUCUGAUAUCCAUAGUACUAGGUACUCAAAGGAAGAGUUUUGCCAUACAGACUCUGAAGAAAAUCAUUGCUUGAAAUUAGAAAUGGAAAGUUCACAAAAGGAAUGUAGCAAGCUAGAUAGUAGUACUGGAUCUGUAUUGCAGAAGUGGGUCCCUGUGGGAAGGAAAGAAUCAACGAUGUCCAAUAUGACCCAUUUAGAUAAUAUGAAUGUCUCUAUUGUGGAAGAUUUGUUUCCUGAUAAAUUGGAAUCAAGGAAUGUUAAAGCAGAGGUUUCAACUUCAAAUACUCAGUACUUCACUCCUUUAACUAGGGGUCAGUUUCCAUGCUCAAGUCCCAGAGCUGAAGAUAAAGAUUUUUCUUCUGGUGAAGCUGAUCAAGUAAAUAGCAGAUUAAGAAACCACCCUUAUGUGGCUGAAGAGUCAGGUGGUGUGAUUCCUGUUUCUAGUUGUCAAACUCAUGAGGUGCAAAAUGAAGGCUUUUCUAGAUUUGAGACUGAUCUGGAUAAGAUACUACUGGCUGUUCAUGAUGCCUACAAAUUUCAUAUGGCAGCAGGUGCUCACCAAGCCUCUGGCAGUCCGCUAGCUGAUAUUGAGAGAUUUCUUUAUUCUGCCUCUCCAGUUAUUGGUCAAACACAUUCCAUUGGAAGUCGCAGGACUUGCUCCAAAGAACAACUAAUUGGUGACUCAAUGUGUUUGCAUCAUAUUCCUAAUAUAUCUUUGAAAAGACUCUGGCAGUGGUAUGAAGAACCUGGGUGCUUUGGUUUGGAAGUAAAGGCACAAGAGUAUCACAACUCAAAAAGGUUGUGUAAUGGUUAUUCUGAAUUCAGUGCAUAUUUUGUACCUUAUCUUUCUGCUGUGCAAUUAUUUGGGAGAUCCAGGAAUACCAGACAUGACAGCGCCAAUGAAGUAGCAGCAAUAGGUUGUGAGGCAGAGAAGACAUUAGAAACUCCAUUAUCUAAUUUACGCUCCCUCCCAAUCUUCUCAAUGCUACUGCCACAACCUUUUAACGGAACAGAUAAGUGCUCAUCGGAUUCUUCUUCUUCUGCCAAAUAUGAAUGUUCCGAUCAGUUUUAUAGGAGCACACGUGUGGGUGAUGAGGAGCUCAUUUUUGAAUAUUUUGAAUCUGACCAACCUCCAUGGCGGCGUCCAUUAUUUGAAAAGAUAAAGGAGCUGAUUGGUGGUGACACAUUAUCUAAUUGCCGGGCAUUUGGAGAUCCACUGAUGCUGGAAAACAUCAACUUGCAUGAUCUUCACCCUGCUUCAUGGUAUUCUGUCGCAUGGUAUCCAAUAUAUCGUAUACCCGAUGGCAAUUUUCAUGCUGCAUUUUUAACUUAUCACUCUCUUGGCCAUUUUGUUCAUCGAAGUUUCUCCUCAAGUCCCUCUGACGGCCUUAGCUGCAUAGCUUCUCCAGUUGUUGGUUUGCUAAGUUACAAUGAUAAGUUCUUUGACAGUAUCAAUCCAUUGUCAAGUGGAUUCCAACAUCAGUUUGCAACUGGUGGGACAGAUCCAUUCCUUUAGAGAGAAUGCUGUCUGCCAGAAAGUUCAUGCAUUCAAUAUUCUUCAGAUUACUUCCACUUUGUUUCUUGACAUAGGGAGAGUGUUGGUUUAAACUGAAGAACUCGUAUUCGAAGGUCAUCAGGAACGAAGAAGCUCGAUUUUUCAAUCCUUCGGAAAUUUUGAAGGAGAGAUUGAGGUCACUCAAGCAAACUGCAACUGUAAUGGCAAGGGCCUCAGUUUCCAAGGGCAACCGAAGAUCUGUGAAUAGACAUCCGGAUUAUGAGUUCUUUGUAUCACAGAGUCGGUAGGGGGCAUUCAUUUCUUUUGAGCAAAAGGUUUCUUCACCUUAGUUCUUUCACUGGUCUGUGGUCCUUUUCUGUAACAAAUGUUAAGAGAGUAGAGCUAACUUGAAGGUUUUCAAUUUUUAUCCUGAGACAGUAAUCUAACCUGAAGGAAUGCAAGCUCUCUCUCUCUCUCUCUCUCUCUCUCUCUCUCUCGUGUACAUUAUCUGUGCAUGGAUUAUCUUCAUGAUUUUUCUGUUAUCGAAGCUUUAGUUGUAAUUCAUCUGCACUCUCUUCAGUGUAAUACAUGGAUUAUCUCUCUCUUUUUC